AAGCUCGUAGUUGAAUUUCGGGGUUCUACCGUUGGUCGGGCAAUAGUCUGUACUGGCGUGUAGAAUUUCUACCUUCUGGGGAACUAUCAUGUUAUUUAUUUAGCGUGGUAGGAAACCAGGACCUUUACCUUGAAAAAAAUUAGAGUGUUCAAAGCAGGCUUACGUCUGAAUACAUUAGCAUGGAAUAAUAAAAUAGGACGGUGGUCCUGUUUUGUUGGUUUCUGAAUCACCGUAAUGAUUAAUAGGGAUAGUUGGG
Molecule: ribosomal RNA, 256 nt
Filed under: uncultured Gigaspora
Lineage: Eukaryota; Fungi; Glomeromycota; Glomeromycetes; Diversisporales; Gigasporaceae
Description: partial 18S ribosomal RNA
Rfam family: Eukaryotic small subunit ribosomal RNA
Source: RNAcentral